Molecule: ribosomal RNA, 802 nt
Filed under: Escherichia coli
Lineage: Bacteria; Pseudomonadati; Pseudomonadota; Gammaproteobacteria; Enterobacterales; Enterobacteriaceae
Description: partial 23S ribosomal RNA
Rfam family: Bacterial large subunit ribosomal RNA
Source: RNAcentral
CGGGACACGUGGUAUCCUGUCUGAAUAUGGGGGGACCAUCCUCCAAGGCUAAAUACUCCUGACUGACCGAUAGUGAACCAGUACCGUGAGGGAAAGGCGAAAAGAACCCCGGCGAGGGGAGUGAAAAAGAACCUGAAACCGUGUACGUACAAGCAGUGGGAGCCUCUUAAUGGGGUGACUGCGUACCUUUUGUAUAAUGGGUCAGCGACUUAUAUUCUGUAGCAAGGUUAACCGAAUAGGGGAGCCGAAGGGAAACCGAGUCUUAACUGGGCGUUAAGUUGCAGGGUAUAGACCCGAAACCCGGUGAUCUAGCCAUGGGCAGGUUGAAGGUUGGGUAACACUAACUGGAGGACCGAACCGACUAAUGUUGAAAAAUUAGCGGAUGACUUGUGGCUGGGGGUGAAAGGCCAAUCAAACCGGGAGAUAGCUGGUUCUCCCCGAAAGCUAUUUAGGUAGCGCCUCGUGAAUUCAUCUCCGGGGGUAGAGCACUGUUUCGGCAAGGGGGUCAUCCCGACUUACCAACCCGAUGCAAACUGCGAAUACCGGAGAAUGUUAUCACGGGAGACACACGGCGGGUGCUAACGUCCGUCGUGAAGAGGGAAACAACCCAGACCGCCAGCUAAGGUCCCAAAGUCAUGGUUAAGUGGGAAACGAUGUGGGAAGGCCCAGACAGCCAGGAUGUUGGCUUAGAAGCAGCCAUCAUUUAAAGAAAGCGUAAUAGCUCACUGGUCGAGUCGGCCUGCGCGGAAGAUGUAACGGGGCUAAACCAUGCACCGAAGCUGCGGCAGCGACGCUUAUGCGU